GUGGGGAAUAUUGGGCAAUGGGCGAAAGCCUGACCCAGCGACGCCGCGUGAGGGAAGAAGGUCUUCGGAUUGUAAACCUUAGUCAACAGGGAAGAAGAAAGUGACGGUACCUGUGGAGGAAGCCACGGCUAACUACGUGCCAGCAGCCGCGGUAAUACGUAGGUGGCGAGCGUUAUCCGGAUUUACUGGGUGUAAAGGGUGUGUAGGCGGGGAUGCAAGUCAGAUGUGAAAAUUACGGGCUCAACCCGUAACCUGCAUUUGAAACUGCAGCUCUUGAGUAUGGGAGAGGUAAGCGGAAUUCCUGGUGUAGCGGUAAAAUGCGUAGAUAUCAGGAGGAACACCGGUGGCGAAGGCGGCUUACUGGACCACAACUGACGCUGAGACACGAAAGCGUGGGGAGCAAACAGGAUUAGAAACCCUAGUAGUCC
RNAcentral lists this ribosomal RNA (428 nucleotides) under uncultured bacterium. RNAcentral's name for it is "bacterial SSU rRNA". It matches the Rfam family "Bacterial small subunit ribosomal RNA", at positions 354 to 796 of the family's 1533-position model. The record is from RNAcentral.